This 67-nucleotide transfer RNA is filed under the name Necterosoma penicillatum. Its description in RNAcentral is "tRNA-Pro". It matches the Rfam family "tRNA". Rfam says of the family: Transfer RNA (tRNA) molecules are approximately 80 nucleotides in length. Lineage: Eukaryota; Metazoa; Arthropoda; Insecta; Coleoptera; Dytiscidae. The record is from RNAcentral.
CAGAGAAUAGUUUAAUUAAAAAUAUUAAUUUUGGAGAUUAACGAUAAAAGUUUAAUUUUUUCUCUGA